Molecule: ribosomal RNA, 422 nt
Filed under: uncultured bacterium
Lineage: Bacteria
Description: bacterial SSU rRNA
Rfam family: Bacterial small subunit ribosomal RNA
Source: RNAcentral
GGCGAGUGGCGAACGGGUGAGUAAUGCAUCGGAACGUGCCCAUCGAUGGGGGAUAACUGCGCGAAAGCGUUGCUAAUACCGCAUACGACCUACGGGUGAAAGCAGGGGACCGCAAGGCCUUGCGUCGAUGGAGCGGCCGAUGCCGGAUUAGCUAGUUGGUGAGGUAAAGGCUCACCAAGGCGACGAUCCGUAGCUGGUCUGAGAGGACGACCCAGCCACACUGGGACUGAGACACGGCCCAGACUCCUACGGGAGGCAGCAGUGGGGAAUCUUGGACAAUGGGCGAAAGCCUGAUCCAGCAAUGCCGCGUGUGGGAAGAAGGCCUUCGGGUUGUAAACCACUUUUGGCGGGAAAGAAAUGGUCUGUGCUAAUACCACGGAUUGAUGACGGUACCCGCAGAAUAAGCACCGGCUAACUACGUG